GAUGAACGCUGGCGGCGUGCCUAAUACAUGCAAGUCGAGCGAACGGACGAGAAGCUUGCUUCUCUGAUGUUAGCGGCGGACGGGUGAGUAACACGUGGAUAACCUACCUAUAAGACUGGGAUAACUUCGGGAAACCGGAGCUAAUACCGGAUAAUAUUUUGAACCGCAUGGUUCAAAAGUGAAAGACGGUCUUGCUGUCACUUAUAGAUGGAUCCGCGCUGCAUUAGCUAGUUGGUAAGGUAACGGCUUACCAAGGCAACGAUGCAUAGCCGACCUGAGAGGGGGAUCGGCCACACUGGAACUGAGACACGGUCCAGACUCCUACGGGAGGCAGCAGUAGGGAAUCUUCCGCAAUGGGCGAAAGCCUGACGGAGCAACGCCGCGUGAGUGAUGAAGGUCUUCGGAUCGUAAAACUCUGUUAUUAGGGAGGAACAUAUGUGUAAGUAACUGUGCACAUCUUGACGGUACCUAAUCAGAAAGCCACGGCUAACUACGUG
Molecule: ribosomal RNA, 497 nt
Filed under: uncultured bacterium
Lineage: Bacteria
Description: partial 16S ribosomal RNA
Rfam family: Bacterial small subunit ribosomal RNA
Source: RNAcentral